UGGGGAAUAUUGCACAAUGGGCGGAAGCCUGAUGCAGCGACGCCGCGUGGGGGAUGAAGGCCUUCGGGUUGUAAACCCCUUUCGACAGGGACGAAGCUUUUGUGACGGUACCUGUAUAAGAAGCACCGGCUAACUACGUGCCAGCAGCCGCGGUAAUACGUAGGGUGCGAGCGUUGUCCGGAAUUACUGGGCGUAAAGAGCUCGUAGGUGGUUUGUCGCGUCGCCUGUGAAAUUCCGGGGCUUAACUCCGGGCGUGCAGGCGAUACGGGCUGACUUGAGUGCUGUAGGGGAGACUGGAAUUCCUGGUGUAGCGGUGAAAUGCGCAGAUAUCAGGAGGAACACCGAUGGCGAAGGCAGGUCUCUGGGCAGUAACUGACGCUGAGGAGCGAAAGCAUGGGUAGCGAACAGGAUUAGAUACCCUGGUAGUCCAUGCCGUAAACGGUGGGCGCUAGGUGUAGGGGGCUUCCACGCCUUCUGUGCCGUAGCUAACGCAUUAAGCGCCCCGCCUGGGGAGUACGGCCGCAAGGCUA
RNAcentral lists this ribosomal RNA (530 nucleotides) under uncultured bacterium. RNAcentral describes it as "bacterial SSU rRNA". It matches the Rfam family "Bacterial small subunit ribosomal RNA", at positions 355 to 896 of the family's 1533-position model. The record is from RNAcentral.